Long non-coding RNA from Cyprinus carpio carpio, 2063 nucleotides. Lineage: Eukaryota; Metazoa; Chordata; Actinopteri; Cypriniformes; Cyprinidae. The record is from Ensembl.
GGGGGCGGUGAUGAGCGGAGGAUUCAUACUGUAUUCAUACACAGAUCGAAGAAGAAGAAGACGAACCGAGGCGCAUAAUCAGCCAAAAUGAUCGGAGAUCUUUUAAUUUUUGGGACUCUGCUCGUGAACGCCGGCGCUGUGCUCAACUUCAAACUAAAGAAGAGAGUAACGCAGUCUCAAGGGUUUGGCGAUGAACCCGGAUCGUCCAGCACUGGUGACAACAUCAGAGAGUUUUUGCUGAGUCUGCGGUACUUUCGCAUAUUCAUUGCUCUUUGGAACAUUUUCAUCAUGUUUUGCAUGAUCUUGUUAUUUGGAUCAUAGAUUGCGGUUACAUCACUGCAGACACAAAAGAGAGAAUUGUUGCAGCAUUGGGUGGAUUUAUCGGAAUGAGUUUUUUUUUUUAGUGUGGGAUGUCUUGAAGUCUUAAGACGUCUGUAUAUUUUGUACAAAAGAUUGAUAUUGCCUUUUCUGUCUGUGAAUCAAAUGGGGACAGAACACAUUUCUUAGUGCCCUAUACAAAUGUCAGUUAUUUCAAUUUUAGUGGAUGUACAAUUCACUAAUUUAAAACCUUGGAGAAGCAGGCUUUGUGACCAUUCAUAUAACAGAAGAAACAUGUAAAGAGCUACUGCUUGGUUAACAUGGAAGAAUGCUUUAAAACCGUGUGCAGUAUAGUAUUUAAUUAUGGUGUUAAAUGCAUAAGAGCACCAUUAUCUUGAUAGGACCUAAAAAUAAUGACCUCUAAGUUCCUGCAUUUUAGACACAACCUACAUUAAUCAUACAAUUUAACAUUUGCAUGACCCCCACACAAAUUUCACACCACUGAAAGCUUAGCUUGAUUUACAUUAUUUGACCUCUAUAAAAAGGUCACACACAAAAAAAGCCCCCCACACACAGUUUUCAUAAAUGCAAAGUCAUUAACUAGUUUUAUUGAAACAGUAAAAGAGGUAACUGCCUGCUGAAAGACCAUUUACACAAGCAUAGAACCAACAAGUUACAAGCAAUAAUUAGUGAAAGCAUUCUGAGAAAUUAAAGUUGAACAAACUUGAAUGCCUCAAAAAGCAUGUUGGAACACUAGUAGGUCAAAAUAAUAGCAACUUUAAUACUCUAAAACUUUAAAAAGGUAUUUCCUCUCCUAUGGCUGGUAAACACUAGUCUGCUUUGAGAAAACCCCUCGUGUAUGUCAUCCACUGCUCCACGUGGGCUUGGCACUGAAGGGCAUUCAGGAACACAGGUCGCUCAAACGCCUAGAAAAAGGAAGAAACCAUUAGAUUUUACUUCACAUUUAAGCUGGAGAAUGGGAAAAAUAAAAUACACUCUUGGAAAAAAUAAAUACCUUCACAUGUGGCCAUUCGUCAAGGGUCUCUCAUUGUGUGGUCCUCUUGAAUUACAGAAUUCUCCUUUUUUUGGAAAGACAUAAAAAAGGACUUCAGAACAAGAAAAGUACCACUAUGUAUGCAAAGCGAUUCUAAUGGUGCUUCAGAGAAAUUGGCUUAAAGUUUAGAGCAAAUGUCAACAGUGUCGAUCUGCUGGGGAAAAAAGAUCAGUCAUCAUUGCUAACAAAAGUGUUGAAGCAAAGUCUAGAGGAAAUCUAAACUCACCAAAAUCUGAGGAAGCACUGUAGGAAACCUCCAUGGUCCAACAGCCCACAUACUGUAAAACAAACAGAUAUAGAGUGAAAUUCAUAAUACAGCUGCUAAGAUAGUGUAGCCACUGGAAAAAACCUACUGCUUAAUUACCAUGUGCAACGUUGAAACAAUUGAAUAACAUUAACUUGUGUGCAUCCAUCUUAGUAACAACCAUAUGCUCUAAAUAGGCUAGUAUAAUAGAAUAGUAAACCAGAACCAGUCAAGGUUUCUUUGUCUCUAGAACUUUCCCGGGUGCACAGGAAACGAGCCACGUGGUCAGCGCGGAACUACACGAAAAUCCUUAAUUUUAGUUAUUUUAAUUUUAGUUUUAUUCGUACAACUUUAGCACUGUGUAACACUACAGAACGAGACUUAAAAAACUUUUCUAGUAGAAAGAAAUAAAUAAAAACCACAAAGUGCUUACCCUUCACAAGAAAC